GACGAACGCUGGCGGCGUGCUUAACACAUGCAAGUCAGGGGGCGGGGUAACCCGUCACCGGCGAUCGGGUGCGGAACACGUGAGCGACCUGCCCUGGUGUGGGGGAUAGCCGGCCCAACGGCCGGGUAAUACCGCAUACGGCGCCAGCUUGGAAGCGGGCGGCGAAACUCGCACGAGGCGCCAGGAGGGGCUCGCGGCCUAUCAGCUAGUUGGUGCGGUAACGGCGCACCAAGGCGACGACGGGUAGCUGGUCUGAGAGGAUGGCCAGGCACAUAGGGACGGAGAAGCGUCCCAGAGGCGGACGGGGGGCAGCAGUGGGGAAUAUGGCGCAAUGGGCGAAAGCGUGACGCAGCGACGCCGCGUGGAGGAUGAGGCCCGUCGGGGUGUAAACUCGGGUUGGCCGGGACGAAUGCCCCUCAUCGGCUGUGUUGACGGUACCGGGUGAGGAAGCACCGGCUAACUCUGUG
This 467-nucleotide ribosomal RNA is filed under the name uncultured bacterium. RNAcentral describes it as "partial 16S ribosomal RNA". It matches the Rfam family "Bacterial small subunit ribosomal RNA", at positions 28 to 507 of the family's 1533-position model. The record is from RNAcentral.